AAUUCAAAAAAGUUGAAAAUACAAAAAGAGUACAAAACAUUAGGAACACCUUCCUAAUAUUGCCCUCAGAACAGCCUCAAUUCUUCAGGGCACGACGGACUCUACAAGGUGUCGAAGGCGUUCCACAGGGAUGCUGGCCCAUGUUGACUCUACAAGGUGUCGAAGGCGUUCCACAGGGAUGCUGGCCCAUGUUGACUCUACAAGGUGUCGAAGGCAUUCCACAGGGAUGCUGGCCCAUGUUGACUCUACAAGGUGUCGAAGGCGUUCCACAGGGAUGCUGGCCCAUGUUGACUCCAAUGAUUCCCACAGUUGUGUCCAGUUGGCUGGAUGUCCUUUGGGUGGUGGACCAGUCUUGAUACACGGGAAACUGAUGAGCGUGAAAAACCCAGAAGCGUUGCAGUUCUUGACACAAACUGGUGCGCCUGGCACCUACUACCAUACCCCUGUUCAAAGGCACUUCAAUAUUUUAUCAUCCUCAGAAUGGCACACACACACAAUCCUCUCCUUCAUCUACACUGAUUGAAGUAGAUUUAACAAGUGACAUCAAUAAGGGAUCAUAGCUCUCACCUGGAUUCACCUGGUCAGUCUGUCAUAGAAAGAGCAGGUGUUCCUAAUGUUUUGUCCAAGCAGUGUGAUUGGUUGUAAAAGCAUCAUUUGGUAUCCCUUUCAGCUUGCAGGUAUUAUGUUUUAUUACUUGUUAUAAAGCAUGUAUAUAUAUAUAUAUAUAUCUUUAUAAUGUCUUAUUAUAAGGUUUAUAAUAUGCUAUGUUUCUGUGUAAAAUGUACAACCCCACCUUUAAAAUGGCUCUAAAGGACUGUUAUUUGGUCACAAUGAGAUGAUACGGAGAGAACGCUGUAUUAAGUCUUAUAAUUCAUUAUACCUGCAGGCUUUAAGUCAAGGGUUAUUCCCCAGUUUACAUCAUUUGUAAUAUUAAAUAUGGUAAUUACUGUUAUUAAAGGGACCAACAUGUUUAUGAAACCAACUACAAAAACACACUGCCUACUGACUGACAGCUUACGGAGAUGUCGAUGUGCUUCCUGACAGAACACAGCUGGACCAAUGGCUGCCAAUGGAACUCACUGAGCACAAUGGGAGGAAACUAUGGUGUCCAACAUGGACCAAACAACAGGGUCAUGUUCAUUAGGCAGCAAAACGGAAGUAAACGGACUGAAACAAGGGAGGGACUUCUUGAAAUUAAUCCAAUAAGUAACAAGUUUUUAAAACAUUUUGAAACGUUUUCCGUUCCACCUCCUAAUGAAUACGACCCAGCAGUAAUCCUUUAUAACAAUCAUUAACCCAAACAAACAGGAAACCAUUGUGGUCCGUUUUUUGUGAAACUCGAACAGUGUUUGGUUUGAACAGUGUACAUUCUGUGUGUCUAGUUAUUUGCAGGGUGUUCGUUCCCUUCAGUGAUCGUUUCAACUGGUUUGUUAUUUAGAGAUUUCUGUGUAUUUUUUCCUGAAAAGUUCUGAAACAGUUCAGAGUCAGAGUGUACAUUUAAAUAGUGAAAAAAAAUAAACAUUUUAAAACACAUACGA
This is a long non-coding RNA of Oncorhynchus keta (chum salmon), 1538 nucleotides long. RefSeq lists it as uncharacterized. The transcript has 2 exons. NCBI's taxonomy places the organism in Eukaryota, Metazoa, Chordata, Actinopteri, Salmoniformes, Salmonidae. The record is from RefSeq and is a predicted model, not a curated record.